RNAcentral lists this ribosomal RNA (501 nucleotides) under uncultured bacterium. RNAcentral's name for it is "partial 16S ribosomal RNA". It matches the Rfam family "Bacterial small subunit ribosomal RNA", at positions 30 to 523 of the family's 1533-position model. The record is from RNAcentral.
AUUGAACGCUGGCGGCAGGCUUAACACAUGCAAGUCGAGCGGGGGAAGGUAGCUUGCUACCGGACCUAGCGGCGGACGGGUGAGUAAUGCUUAGGAAUCUGCCUAUUAGUGGGGGACAACAUCUCGAAAGGGAUGCUAAUACCGCAUACGUCCUACGGGAGAAAGCAGGGGAUCUUCGGACCUUGCGCUAAUAGAUGAGCCUAAGUCAGAUUAGCUAGUUGGUGGGGUAAAGGCCUACCAAGGCGACGAUCUGUAGCGGGUCUGAGAGGAUGAUCCGCCACACUGGGACUGAGACACGGCCCAGACUCCUACGGGAGGCAGCAGUGGGGAAUAUUGGACAAUGGGGGGAACCCUGAUCCAGCCAUGCCGCGUGUGCGAAGAAGGCCUUAUGGUUGUAAAGCACUUUAAGCGAGGAGGAGGCUACUUUAGUUAAUACCUAGAGAUAGUGGACGUUACUCGCAGAAUAAGCACCGGCUAACUCUGUGCCAGCCGCCGCAGUAA